UACAGAGGGGGGCAAGCGUUUAUUCGGAAUUAUUGGGCGUAAAGCGCGCGCAGGCGGUCCUUUAAGUCUGAUGUGAAAGCCCCCGGCUCAACCGGGGAGGGUCAUUGGAAACUGGAAGGCUUGAGUGCAGAAGAGAAGAGCGGAAUUCCACGUGUAGCGGUGAAAUGCGUAGAGAUGUGGAGGAACACCAGUGGCGAAGGCGGCUCUUUGGUCUGUAACUGACGCUGAGGCGCGAAAGCGUGGGGAGCAAACAGG
This 255-nucleotide ribosomal RNA is filed under the name uncultured bacterium. RNAcentral's name for it is "partial 16S ribosomal RNA". It matches the Rfam family "Bacterial small subunit ribosomal RNA", at positions 524 to 776 of the family's 1533-position model. The record is from RNAcentral.